Molecule: long non-coding RNA, 361 nt
Organism: Branchiostoma floridae (Florida lancelet)
Lineage: Eukaryota; Metazoa; Chordata; Leptocardii; Amphioxiformes; Branchiostomatidae
Exons: 3
Source: RefSeq, a predicted model, not a curated record
AAACUUCAUCGUUUUGUAUCGCCGUCAUUGCAGUACUAGUGCGCCACAGGGACAUAUCCCAUGCACAAUAGAUGGCGUCACCAGGGCGUACUUGGAAAAUCAAGAAAACAACAACAAGAGAAAAAGUGAAGGAAACCACCAAAAAGGCUUGGACUACAAAAUGUUCCCAUCUCCUCCCCCGAACAACAUGGCGGACCACUACUAUCCACUCUCUGAAGAAGACUGCGUCAAAGGAAGUCAAGGUACGAAAGAAAUCUCCAACCCCGGCCUUGUUGCCCAGGCGUGUGAGAUCACCAGCACAGCAGGAAAGGGCGAAAGCGUGGCAUCUACUUCUUCCCUCAGGUCAUUAUGACCAGGCAAA